GGGGAAUCUUGGACAAUGGGGGCAACCCUGAUCCAGCGAUGCCGCGUGAGUGAAGAAGGCCUUCGGGUCGUAAAGCUCUUUAGGUUGGGAAGAAGGUUAGUGGAGGAAAUGCUAUUAACUUGACGGUACCGACAGAAUAAGCACCGGCAAACUCUGUGCCAGCAGCCGCGGUAAUACAGAGGGGGCGAGCGUUAAUCGGAUUUACUGGGCGUAAAGGGCGCGUAGGCGGUUAAAUGAGUGUGGGGUGA
Molecule: ribosomal RNA, 248 nt
Filed under: uncultured Aquicella sp.
Lineage: Bacteria; Pseudomonadati; Pseudomonadota; Gammaproteobacteria; Legionellales; Coxiellaceae
Description: partial 16S ribosomal RNA
Rfam family: Bacterial small subunit ribosomal RNA
Source: RNAcentral